UAAGCUCUGUAUAGAGGGCCUGGUAGGUA
RNAcentral lists this non-coding RNA (29 nucleotides) under Homo sapiens (human). Lineage: Eukaryota; Metazoa; Chordata; Mammalia; Primates; Hominidae. The record is from RNAcentral.